CAGUGACUCAUUGGAUUGCCAGUUCACGAUGCAGGAGCUGAGCUAUCUGACACGGAUGGCUCCCUCCUUCAGGCUGAGAGACCUUGAAUAAGAUUUUGAUAGAUUUCUGACCCAAGAAACCUGGGUUUUAAUUUACCUCCCUUGGAGCCUGAGGCUGGAUAUAAUGCUGAAAAAGUUUCUGUGCCACUGAAAGCCUUUUCUUCUGUGAUGGGAUCUUUUUGAAGUUCUCACAAGCAAGCCAGAACUCAAUGUUUUCAUCACUGUAUUCUGUCUUUAGGUAGGAUCUGUAGAUUAUGCGCCCAUCUGAAAAGUAUGCAGUGGUUAAAUAUUGAUUUAUCAACACAAUUGUCAGUAUUCUGAAUGAAAAUGUCCUAGCCAGAUGUGGCUGGAACUCAAUACAAAUAGUAGUCAAGAGUUGGUACCUAAAAUGACAAUUUUCUCCCUAUUGCUUUUACAAUGUACUUAAACCAAUGUUUUAUGAUGUCAUCAUUUUUGUACAUUCCAUCCUCACCCUCCAGCAAAUCCAAUAAAAUU
Long non-coding RNA from Sphaerodactylus townsendi, 534 nucleotides. RefSeq lists it as uncharacterized. NCBI's taxonomy places the organism in Eukaryota, Metazoa, Chordata, Lepidosauria, Squamata, Sphaerodactylidae. The record is from RefSeq and is a predicted model, not a curated record. The transcript has 3 exons.